AACCUUGUAGGUUUUUUGCCUUUAUAAGCCUUCCACAUUAUGUAGUCCCUCCGAACACAAUUCAAAUGCUUGUAUCUAUUUCCUGGCUGCAGUCCCAACAAACCCCAAACAAAUGCCUCUUUAUUCCAAUCAGGUCUCUGUUUCUGAAAUGUUGGUUAAUAGCUCUAAACACUUUAUUGUUUCAUUAAACCCACAAGAAACUAAACCCACAAGAUGAGGAGAGUAAAGGAUUAAUAGAGAAGUUAAGAAAUUACCAAAAAUCAUAUAGCACAUAAGUGGUGAUGCCUUUGGUCCGCAAAACAAGAGUUAUAGAAUGCACUGAGAGAAUAAGACAAAACACACAGGGUUUGGAAUGAGGCUUUGAGGAACUGUAGAGAAUGCUUGAAUCGUCACCCUAAGGAAUACAAUAAGGUGGCAAGCCCUCUUAGAUUUACUGAGAGCUAUGUCCUGUCACUUCAAUUUUCCACCACAAAAUCAGUAAUUGAGUAAAGAAUACUCAACAAAGACAAAAGGAAAUACUAAACAAAGACUUAGCUGAGGUAACUAUUGUUUUGCUCUAUUAGGGCUGAUUCUUCUUUGUAGAAAUUUCAAUGCCCAUCUCUCUCUGAUUUCCUUUUACCCACCUCUUACGUAAUCACCACUCCACAAGAAAUCUCCUCAGAGAUAACAAUGUAUCCAGUAAAUCCUAUUGGAGAGGAGAGAAAUUGGAGGUUUUAAAAGAAGCAGAAAGGAGGCUGCAAAACCCAGGCUUUAGGUGACUAAAGCUGCGAUGAUGACAAUGGAGAAGGAAAAAAUGUCGAGAUUGGGGUGUCUACCCAAACUGGAGUUUUGAUCUCAUUCUAUAGAAGAAAGAGCUCCAGAAGAGAGAAGAAAGAGAAAAGAGAGAAAUGGCUAGAGUCUUAAGGAGUACAAAGGAGAAUAUUAGGCAAGGUUGGUAGGAUAUGUGAAAUUUUGAAGUCUCAAUGAAUUUUAUGAUGUUUUAUCACAGACUGUAUUAUAAACACAAGCCACCAACCACUUCCCCAUCCUUCUAUUUCUACCUUUAUAUGAGACUUCAGUCAUCACUUAACGUUAUUUUCCAAUUUGUGGGCGAGUCAAAUAUGUGUUUCUCUGUAAUGUGAUACUUUGUAGAGUUGUGCCCUACAAGAGUGACCUUCAAAGAACAGAUUUAUCUUUCUUUAUACAUGUGUCAAUUAUUAUUAUAAUUUGAUU
This is a long non-coding RNA of Aethalodelphis obliquidens (Pacific white-sided dolphin), 1212 nucleotides long. RefSeq lists it as uncharacterized. The record is from RefSeq and is a predicted model, not a curated record. NCBI's taxonomy places the organism in Eukaryota, Metazoa, Chordata, Mammalia, Artiodactyla, Delphinidae. The transcript is spliced from 3 exons.